This 692-nucleotide ribosomal RNA is filed under the name Alexandrium affine. RNAcentral's name for it is "partial large subunit ribosomal RNA". It matches the Rfam family "Eukaryotic large subunit ribosomal RNA", at positions 35 to 663 of the family's 3401-position model. The record is from RNAcentral. Lineage: Eukaryota; Dinophyceae; Gonyaulacales; Pyrocystaceae.
UAAGCAUAUAAGUAAGUGGUGGAAAUUAAACCAAAUGGGAUUCCUUAAGUAAUUGCGAAUGAACAAGGACAUGCUUAGCUUGACAAUUGGAGCCUCUGGCUUCGACUUGUAUUUUUGAAAUGUAUUACCAACAGAGGUGCAGGUGUCAGCCUAUUGAAAGAAAGCGUCAAUGAGGGUGAGAAUCCUGUUUGUCAUGUGCAAUCCUCUGUGCACGGUGUAUGUUUGCUGAGUCACACUCCUUGGCAUUGGAAUGCAAAGUGGGUGGUAAGUUUCAUGUAAAGGUAAAUAUAGGAUUGAGACUGAUAGCACACAAGUACCAUGAGGGAAAUAUGAAAAGGACUUUGAAAAGAGAAUUAAAUGAGUUUGUAUUUGCUGAACAGAAAAUAAACAGAUUUGAUGUUGCUUGGUGAGAUUGUGGUGCUUGCUUGACAAUAGGUUUUGAUUGUGGGUGUGAUGAUUCUUGCUUUGCUUGCCAGUUUCUAUUUGUACAUUUGAUUACCCUUGCACAUGAAUGGUAAUUUUCCUGCGGGGUUUGGAUUGCAUGUGUUUGUGAUGAUUUGUGUUUUGAUACAUGUGUCUGGUGCUUUUGUAAUUGCUCAUUUCUUGAAGCUGGGCCUACCCUACUAGAGCUUACAAGCCCUGGCACACAAUUGCUGGCAAAAUGCUUCUGCUUGACCCGUCUUGAAACAACA